RNAcentral lists this ribosomal RNA (460 nucleotides) under uncultured bacterium. RNAcentral's name for it is "partial 16S ribosomal RNA". It matches the Rfam family "Bacterial small subunit ribosomal RNA", at positions 338 to 795 of the family's 1533-position model. The record is from RNAcentral.
CCUACGGGAGGCAGCAGUGAGGAAUAUUGGUCAAUGGGCUUACGCCUGAACCAGCCAAGUCGCGUGAGGGAAGACUGCCCUAUGGGUUGUAAACCUCUUUUGUCAGGGAGCAACGCCGGCUACGUGUAGCCGGACUGAGAGUACCUGAAGAAAAAGCAUCGGCUAACUCCGUGCCAGCAGCCGCGGUAAUACGGAGGAUGCGAGCGUUAUCCGGAUUUAUUGGGGUUAAAGGGUGCGUAGGCGGAAUGCCAAGUCAGCGGUAAAAUCGCGGGGCUCAACGCCGCUCCGCCGUUGAAACUGGGCUUCUUGAGUGGGCGAGAGGUAUGCGGAAGUCGUGGUGUAGCGGUGAAAUGCGUAGAUAUUACGCAGAACUCCGGUUGCGAAGGCGGCAUGCCGGAGCCCAACUGACGGUGAAGCGCGAAAGCGUGGGGAUCGAACAGGAUUAGAUACCCGGGUAGUC